Molecule: transfer RNA, 84 nt
Filed under: Bifidobacterium longum subsp. suis
Lineage: Bacteria; Bacillati; Actinomycetota; Actinomycetes; Bifidobacteriales; Bifidobacteriaceae
Also listed under: 1 other name
Description: tRNA-OTHER
Source: RNAcentral
GCCGGUCGCAAGGUGGCCGUACCUGACGAAGCAUUCCAUUGCGGACUUCCGAAGGUGGACGCGAGUUCGAUUCUCGCACCGGCA